Molecule: long non-coding RNA, 493 nt
Filed under: Gossypium barbadense (sea-island cotton)
Lineage: Eukaryota; Viridiplantae; Streptophyta; Magnoliopsida; Malvales; Malvaceae
Description: long non-coding RNA (GBAR_LNC010107)
Source: RNAcentral
ACAUCGGAUCAGUGUGAGAGGUUAUGUGAAAUCAUACGAUAUAUCUAUGUCACAUGAGCUCACUUUUAUGUGAAAGUUUAUCUGCUUAUUGUAUAUGAUGAGAUGUGCAUAUUCGGAAAAGGGAUGGUAUGCCCGAAGGAAGAGUGAAAUAAAAUAUACGAACAACUAUGUUAUAAUUUGAUUGUUAUCUGUUGACACUGCUUAAAACUUACUAAGCAUUGUAAUGCUUACUCUGUUUACUCUGUUUCCUCUGUUUUAUAGAUCUCAUUUGGAAGCUACAGGCUCAGGGAUCAUCAGCAACUAGUCACACUAUCACUAUCCAUUGUUUGGUACUGCUACGUUUUGGAUUAUCUUAUGGCAUGUAUAGAAUAGACUAGUGGCGGAAGAAUAUUUUUGGUUAAUGUAUAUAAGCCAUGCGAAAAUGGCAUCUUUUGAAUGUUUACUUAGUGAAGUUUAAAUUUUACCUCUGGUUGUGCUUAGUACUUAUUUAAAC